This 404-nucleotide ribosomal RNA is filed under the name uncultured bacterium. Its description in RNAcentral is "partial 16S ribosomal RNA". It matches the Rfam family "Bacterial small subunit ribosomal RNA", at positions 28 to 526 of the family's 1533-position model. The record is from RNAcentral.
GACGAACGCUGGCGGCGUGCUUAACACAUGCAAGUCGAGCGGAGCGGCGAACGGGUGAGUAACGCGUGAGUAACUGCCCCCCUCUCUGGGAUCACAGUUGGAAACGGCUGCUAAUACCGGAUAGUUGGGGAUGACUCGCGUCCUAUCAGCUUGUUGGUGGGGUAGUGGCCUACCAAGGCGACGCCGGGUAGCCGGCCUGGGAGGGCUUCCGGACCCAUUGGGCUGAGAUACGGCCCAAGCGCCGACGGGAGGCAGCAGUGGGUAAUAUUGCACAAUGAGGGAAACCCUGAUGCAGCAACGCGCGGGCGGGAUGACGGCCUUCGGGUUGUAAACCGCUUUCAGCCAUGACGCGGUAGUGGCAGAAGAAGCACCGGCUAAAUACGUGCCAGCAGCCGCGGUAAUAC